GCAAAGGUAGCUUAACGGAUUAAAGCACAGCACUGAAAAUGCUUCAAAGGGGGUUAAAGUCCCUCCCUUAGCA
RNAcentral lists this transfer RNA (73 nucleotides) under Hemicentrotus pulcherrimus. RNAcentral describes it as "tRNA-Phe". It matches the Rfam family "tRNA". Rfam says of the family: Transfer RNA (tRNA) molecules are approximately 80 nucleotides in length. Their secondary structure includes four short double-helical elements and three loops (D, anti-codon, and T loops). Further hydrogen bonds mediate the characteristic L-shaped molecular structure. tRNAs have two regions of fundamental functional importance: the anti-codon, which is responsible for specific mRNA codon recognition, and the 3' end, to which the tRNAs corresponding amino acid is attached (by aminoacyl-tRNA synthetases). tRNAs cope with the degeneracy of the genetic code in two manners: having more than one tRNA (with a specific anti-codon) for a particular amino acid; and 'wobble' base-pairing, i.e. permitting non-standard base-pairing at the 3rd anti-codon position. The record is from RNAcentral. Lineage: Eukaryota; Metazoa; Echinodermata; Echinoidea; Camarodonta; Strongylocentrotidae. RNAcentral also lists the same sequence under 7 other names.